This 85-nucleotide transfer RNA is filed under the name Amborella trichopoda. Its description in RNAcentral is "tRNA tRNA-Tyr". It matches the Rfam family "tRNA". From Rfam's summary of the family: Transfer RNA (tRNA) molecules are approximately 80 nucleotides in length. Their secondary structure includes four short double-helical elements and three loops (D, anti-codon, and T loops). Further hydrogen bonds mediate the characteristic L-shaped molecular structure. tRNAs have two regions of fundamental functional importance: the anti-codon, which is responsible for specific mRNA codon recognition, and the 3' end, to which the tRNAs corresponding amino acid is attached (by aminoacyl-tRNA synthetases). tRNAs cope with the degeneracy of the genetic code in two manners: having more than one tRNA (with a specific anti-codon) for a particular amino acid; and 'wobble' base-pairing, i.e. permitting non-standard base-pairing at the 3rd anti-codon position. The record is from Rfam by way of RNAcentral. Lineage: Eukaryota; Viridiplantae; Streptophyta; Magnoliopsida; Amborellales; Amborellaceae.
CCGGCUUUAGCUCAGUUGGUAGAGCGGAGGACUGUAGUGGUUUGCUGUAAUCCUUAGGUCGCUGGUUCGAAUCCGGCAAGCCGGA